UUGAUGAACCAGCUGCCCUUUCUUGCUGC
RNAcentral lists this non-coding RNA (29 nucleotides) under Mus musculus (house mouse). Lineage: Eukaryota; Metazoa; Chordata; Mammalia; Rodentia; Muridae. The record is from RNAcentral.